ACGCGAAGAACCUUACCCACCUUUGACAUGUACGGAAUCCUUUAGAGAUAGAGGAGUGCUCGAAAGAGAGCCGUAACACAGGUGCUGCAUGGCUGUCGUCAGCUCGUGUCGUGAGAUGUUGGGUUAAGUCCCGCAACGAGCGCAACCCUUGUCAUUAGUUGCUACAUUCAGUUGGGCACUCUAAUGAGACUGCCGGUGACAAGCCGGAGGAAGGUGGGGAUGACGUCAAGUCCUCAUGGCCCUUAUAGGCGGGGCUACACACGUCAUACAAUGGCUGGUACAAAGGGUUGCCAACCCGCGAGGGGGAGCUAAUCCCACAAAGCCAGUCGUAGUCCGGAUCGUAGUCUGCAACUCGACUACGUGAAGUCGGAAUCGCUAGUAAUCGUGGAUCAGAAUGUCACGGUGAAUACGUUCCCGGGUCUUGUACACACCGA
This 434-nucleotide ribosomal RNA is filed under the name uncultured bacterium. RNAcentral's name for it is "bacterial SSU rRNA". It matches the Rfam family "Bacterial small subunit ribosomal RNA", at positions 959 to 1393 of the family's 1533-position model. The record is from RNAcentral.